GAUGAACGCUGGCGGCGUGCUUAACACAUGCAAGUCGAACGGAAAGGCCCAAGCUUGCUUGGGUACUCGAGUGGCGAACGGGUGAGUAACACGUGGGUGAUCUGCCCUGCACUUCGGGAUAAGCCUGGGAAACUGGGUCUAAUACCGGAUAGGACCACAUUUUGGAUGGUGUGGUGGAAAGUUUUUCGGUGUGGGAUGAGCUCGCGGCCUAUCAGCUUGUUGGUGGGGUAAUGGCCUACCAAGGCGUCGACGGGUAGCCGGCCUGAGAGGGUGUACGGCCACAGUGGGACUGAGAUACGGCCCAGACUCCUACGGGAGGCAGCAGUGGGGAAUAUUGCACAAUGGGCGCAAGCCUGAGGCAGCGACGCCGCGUGGGGGAUGACGGCCUUCGGGUUGUAAACUCCUUUCGCUAGGGACGAAGCGUUUUUGUGACGGUACCUGGAGAAGAAGCACCGGCUAACUACGUG
This 467-nucleotide ribosomal RNA is filed under the name uncultured bacterium. RNAcentral describes it as "partial 16S ribosomal RNA". It matches the Rfam family "Bacterial small subunit ribosomal RNA", at positions 28 to 507 of the family's 1533-position model. The record is from RNAcentral.